Molecule: ribosomal RNA, 253 nt
Filed under: uncultured bacterium
Lineage: Bacteria
Description: partial 16S ribosomal RNA
Rfam family: Bacterial small subunit ribosomal RNA
Source: RNAcentral
UACGAAGGGGGCUAGCGUUGUUCGGAAUUACUGGGCGUAAAGGGCGCGUAGGCGGCUGUGCAAGUCAGAUGUGAAAGCCCUGGGCUCAACCCAGGAUGUGCAUUUGAUACUGCAUGGCUAGAGUGUCGGAGAGGAUGGUGGAAUUCCCAGUGUAGAGGUGAAAUUCGUAGAUAUUGGGAAGAACACCGGUGGCGAAGGCGACCAUCUGGACGACAACUGACGCUGAGGCGCGAAAGCGUGGGGAGCAAACAGG